Pelobates cultripes (western spadefoot toad) is the source of this 1138-nucleotide non-coding RNA. Lineage: Eukaryota; Metazoa; Chordata; Amphibia; Anura; Pelobatidae. The record is from the annotation of a GenBank genome assembly.
AAUUGCUCUCCCUAUGGUAUAGAACACCAACUUUACUACAUCGAAUAUUCCCAUCAAUUCCCCAGGUGUGCUGGAGGUGCCAGGAAAGACGCGGCACGGUGCUACACAUCUGGUGGGAGUGCAGAGAUAUCACCCCAUAUUGGGAAAUGAUUAGGGGCACAGUGAAGCUUAUCCAGGGAGACAUACCGGAGUGGAAUGCGGAAUUGGCAUUGUUACACAUCUCGACACAACCCAUAUCAUCGUACAAGAAGGCCAAGGCCAAGAUACCAGCCCACUGGAAAAAGAGUGAAGUACCUACUAGAAAAGAGUUGAUUUGCAGAGUAGAAGAUAUUCAGGGAGCAGAAGAAGCACAUGCUACCCUGACAGGACGAGGAACCAGGCAUGCGGAGCUGUGGAUGCCAUGGUUCUUAUAUAUCUCCCGUUACCGUCGUGAUGGAGACGCACCGGGAAACACGGCAGGGGUACCGACUGACGCAAGCCUUACGGGAGGAAUCACACCUCACAUAUCAUGAUUGCCCAUUACCCCCUGCUCCUAACCCUUUCCUUACCCCCCCUACCAGACUACCGAGGCCUGUGUAACCGGGUUCGAGGCCAGACGGGCCGAUUAUGAGACAGACAAAUAGCAUAAUAAACUAGGAGAGUAAUAAGGAUAAACAAAAAGAGAAACAGAAGAUGGAAAAUGACAAAAGACAAUGAUACCUGAUCAGUGGCACAGAGAUCCAGGACACUCUGUGGCUUGGAUACCUGGCAAUUAGACGGGAAUAUAGCAAAACAUAAUGAACGUAUGUCAAUUAGAUAGACACACACCCCAUCACACCCGCGCACAACAGAGACGCCCAUUUUCAACAAAACAUCGACACCUAACACGUAAUAGCUAAGGACAAGGAUUCAGGGGACAGAGGAGGUGCAGAGAAACCUAAACAACACUCGGGCUCUGCCAUAGGUAAAAGUCAUGGGGGGAAACUAGACCCCGAGCAAUUAAUAUAAGCUACAUAAUAUGUGUAAGCUUCCACUUAAGAUUGAAACCUGGAGUUUCACAAAAACUAAGGUGAUAAAUUCAAUGUUAUAGCAGAAGUGAGCAUAUAUGUACCCUAAAGUAGGGAGAGGUUAACUAGAUCUACUCCCCAGAAUGUUGACU